CACAGUGUGCCCCCCCGUGUCCCCCCAUAUCCCCUUCAGUGUCCCCCCAUUUUCUCCCCCUUCCCCCCGGUGUCCCCCCCCGUGUCCCCCCCGUGUCCCCCAUCAUGUCCCCCCCGGUGUCCCCCCCGUGUCCCCCCCAUAUCCCCCCGUGUCCCCCGCAAUGUCCCACCCGUGUCCCCCCCAUAUUCCCCCAUGUCCCCCACCGUGUCCCCCCAUAUCCCCCUCAGUGUCCCCCCGUGUCCCCCCCGUGUCCCCCCCGGUGUCCCCCCCAUAUCCCCCCGUGUCCCCCCCGGUGUCCCCCCCGUGUCCCCCCCGGUGUCCCCCCCGUGUCCCCCCCGUGUCCCCCCCGUGUCCCCCCCGGUGUCCCCCCCGUGUCCUCGCGCCGUGGGGAGGGCGGGGGGGUCCCUCCCUCCCUCCCACCCGGGGCCCAACGCGCCGCCUCCAUCUUGUGCCGCCGCCGCCGCCGCCGCCGCGACAUCCCCGGCCCCGGGACAGGCCCCGCCUCCGCCUGCUCCUCCGACACCGCCCGCGGCAGGACGGGGCCCCGUGACGUCACUCCCAGCCCAGCCAAUGAGCAUCCAGGAGGCCCGGCCGGCUGUGACCCCCCCCCGAGGACCCCCGGAGCUGCAACACCCAGUCCAUGAGGGCCCCGCGCACAGGUGGGCACUGGGGGGUACUGGGGGAUACUGGUGGGCACUGGGGGGGUACUGGGGGAUACUGGGGGAUACUGGGGGAUACUGGGGGGCACUGGGAGACACUGGGAGGGCACUGGGGGGCACUGGGGGGCACUGGGAGGGCACUUGGAGGCACUGGGGGAUACUGGGGGGUACUGGGAGGGUACUGGGGGAUACUGGGAGGGCACUGGAGGAUACUGGGGGAUACUGGAGGGGCACUGGGGGAUACUGGGGGGCACUGGGAGGGCACUGGGAGGGCACUGGGGGAUACUGGGAGGCACUGGGAGGGCACUGGAGGAUACUGAGAGGAUACUGGAGGGGCACUGGGGGAUAUUGGGAGGGCACUGGGGAAUACUGGGGGGCACUGGGGGGCACUGGGGGGUACUGGGGGGCACUGGGAGGGCACUGGAGGAUACUGGGGGAUACUGGGAGGACACUGGAGGAUACUGGGGGAUACUGGAGGGGCACUGGGGGAUACUGGGGGGCACUGGGGGGUACUGGGGGUUACUGGGGAGCACUGGGAGGGCACUGGGCGAUACUGGAGGGGCACUGGGAGAUACUGGGAGGCACUGGGAGGGCACUGGAGGAUACUGGGGGAUACUGGAGGGGCACUGGGGGAUACUGGGAGGGCACUUGGAGGCACUGGGGGAUACUGGGAGGGCACUGGAG
RNAcentral lists this long non-coding RNA (1343 nucleotides) under Taeniopygia guttata (zebra finch). RNAcentral describes it as "lncRNA (ENSTGUG00000019619.1)". Lineage: Eukaryota; Metazoa; Chordata; Aves; Passeriformes; Estrildidae. The record is from RNAcentral.